Long non-coding RNA from Physeter macrocephalus (sperm whale), 1252 nucleotides. RefSeq lists it as uncharacterized. The transcript is spliced from 4 exons. The record is from RefSeq and is a predicted model, not a curated record. NCBI's taxonomy places the organism in Eukaryota, Metazoa, Chordata, Mammalia, Artiodactyla, Physeteridae.
GUGGAUAAGUUAUACAACCAGCACUCCUGGUUCUCGUUCUUGAUAUUUAAUAGGCUAUUUCUAGAACUCAUUUGGGCAGUAAAUCCAGCAUAAUCUGUAGAGAAUAUUCUCACGAUUUGCAGUAGCUUUUAGAACAAGUUAAAUUCAGAAUCAUUAAUCAUAUACUUUCUCUUCUCUCUCCUCCUCUCUCCAACCUCACGCUUUUUCUUAUGAUCUUAAAAUAUUAUGUGGUGCCAUAAAUAUAUUUUGAAGUGAAAAUUUUUACAUUCUUUCACAUAAGUACCCACUAGUCCUGUCUGAAAGCACUAGAAGCUUCACGGUACGGGACGCGAGCAGCUUCGGAUACGGCGCGUUCAGACUGGAGUCCGUGGAGGUCAACGCGCUGGGAAUGCGACCACUUCCCUAUUUGCAACGCGGACGAAGCCUCCUGCGGAGCCCGUUGUUUCCAUGACAACCCCUCCCAGCACCGCCUCCCACCCCCGCACAGCCUGUCACACCUGGUGCCACCUUCUGGCCCUCGAGGGGCAGGACGCUGCGCCCAGGGGCGCUCCAAACUCCUGGUGGCCCUGGAGCCGAGCUGGGGUGAUGGAGGCAACCCGCUCCAGCCCCUUUACCGGCACACACACGGCUUUUUGCUAAUCACAGAUCAGAACUCAGGCAAAGGAAGCCGUGGCCUCCCCAGGUCGGAUGGGGAGAACGCCUCUGUGUGGUAUGGGAUCUAUAGCUCAAAGUGCCCCCAGCCUGGGCCCUCGGGGUCUUCGGAGGCAGCUCGCUGAGGCUGGGGGCUUCGGGGUGCAGGACGGGGUCUGCUCCGAGACAGCCAGGAGGUGAGCGGGAUGGGAGAGGGAACAAGGGCAGAAAGACCCUGAGAGGGGCGCCCGGCCUGCCUGCCCUGAUCUUUUACGAGACGACAGGUCCCAAGUAAAGUCACUUAUACUGAGCCCAUGUCAUCACACUGAGCCCUAACUGCAUUAGUCUCUGCUCUCCCAGAAACGGAAUCUUACACCGGUCAACUGGGAAUGGCCGUCCAGCGCCGGCGAGGUCAUGCGCCCGGUGGACCCCGGGCGUGCCCUGAAGGGAGUGACCUUGCCGCAACUAGCCUGCUGUUUGCUGGCGUGACCUCCUUGCUCCCGCCCCCUCUCCCUGUAAAGUCUCACUGCGUGCAGCCCCUCGGAGCGCCCUCCGUCUGCUGGAGGGGAUGCCGCUAAUUGGAAUCAAGUUUUGCACGAAUAAACUCUUAAAAACUUUAAUA